RNAcentral lists this unclassified non-coding RNA (202 nucleotides) under uncultured Sebacinales. RNAcentral describes it as "sequence contains ITS2". The record is from RNAcentral. Lineage: Eukaryota; Fungi; Basidiomycota; Agaricomycetes; Sebacinales.
UAAUCUCACCCCCGAGUCUUUUCGGUCUCGGGAGUGGACUUGGACGUUGCCGCCUACGUCGGCUCGUCUCGAACGUCUCAGUGUACCCCGUCCGUCGGCGUAGACAGUGUGAUAGGUAUCUUCACUGCUCCAGUCUCUUCGGAGACGCGCCUUCAGGAUGUGGACGUGUGCUGCCAACCGUCUUCGGACAAACCAAUCGACA